AGAGUUUGAUCCUGGCUCAGAAUCAACGCUGGCGGCGCGCCUAACACAUGCAAGUCGAACGAGAAAGUGGAGCAAUCCAUGAGUACAGUGGCGUACGGGUGAGUAACACGUGGGUAAUCUACCUCUUAGUGAGGAAUAACCCUGGGAAACCGGGGCUAAUACCGCAUGAGCCUGAGAAGGGAAAGCAGAAAUGCGCUGAGAGAGGAGCCCGCGGCCGAUUAGCUAGUUGGUGGGGUAAGAGCCCACCAAGGCAGAGAUCGGUAGCCGGCCUGAGAGGGCACACGGCCACACUGGCACUGAAACACGGGCCAGACUCCUACGGGAGGCAGCAGUGGGGAAUCUUGCACAAUGGGGGAAACCCUGAUGCAGCGACGCCGCGUGAGCGAUGAAGCCCUUCGGGGUGUAAAGCUCUUUCGUCAGGGAAGAUAGUGACGGUACCUGGAGAAGCAGCUGCGGCUAACUACGUGCCAGCAGCCGCGGUAAUACGUAGGCAGCAAGCGUUGUUCGGAGUUACUGGGCGUAAAGGGUGUGUAGGCGGUUCUUUAAGUUUGGUGUGAAAUCUCCCGGCUUAACCGGGAGGGUGCGCCGAAUACUGAGGGACUAGAGUACAGGAGAGGAAAGUGGAAUUCCUGGUGUAGCGGUGAAAUGUGUAGAUAUCAGGAGGAACACCGGUGGUGUAGACGGCUUUCUGGACCGUAACUGACGCUGAGACACGAAAGCGUGGGUAGCAAACAGGAUUAGAUACCCUGGUAGUCCACGCCCUAAACGAUGCAUAUUUGGUGUGGGCAGUUCAUUCUGUCCGUGCCGGAGCUAACGCGUUAAAUAU
This 826-nucleotide ribosomal RNA is filed under the name uncultured bacterium. RNAcentral describes it as "bacterial SSU rRNA". It matches the Rfam family "Bacterial small subunit ribosomal RNA", at positions 8 to 867 of the family's 1533-position model. The record is from RNAcentral.